RNAcentral lists this long non-coding RNA (953 nucleotides) under Homo sapiens (human). RNAcentral's name for it is "long intergenic non-protein coding RNA 882". The record is from RNAcentral. Lineage: Eukaryota; Metazoa; Chordata; Mammalia; Primates; Hominidae.
GGCGUUGGCCUCCGCGGCCCGUGCGAGUGCGCCCUUCUCGGGUCCCCUAGGUCGCGGGGCAGCCGGGGCGGAAGGGGCUUGUUCAUUAUUUUGAGAGUUUGUUGUGAACGUCAUAACCUUUCGUCCUUAAAUAUUGCCGAUACUUGACCUACGCAAGAGACAAUGUCAUGUGAUUCAGCCUAAUAUCUCAGAGGAUGCAGCAUUCAAGGUUCUAUCUUGGAAGCAGAGACUGUGCCCUCACCAGAUGCUGAACCUGCUGAGCACCCUGAUCUUCCACUUCACCUUCAUCAGAACUGGACGCGCAUGAAAUUUGGUGCCGUGACUCGGAUCGGCGGACCUCCCUUAGGAGAUCAAUCCCCUGUCCUCCUGCUCUUUGCUCCAUGAGAAAGAUCCACCUACGACCUAAGGUCCUCAGACCAACCAGCCCAAGAAACAUCUCACCAAUUUCAAAUCCGAAAUCCUUCAUCUAAUCUGGCAAACACAUGUGGCAGGUUUUUCUCACCGCAUAAAAUAUGUUAUAGAGUAGUCCAUCUAUUUCUCUUCCAUGGAAGAGUUCAUCUGGUAGAUUGGACUACCACUUUUCCUUGAAGAGGAAGAAGAAGAGGGAGGAAGGAGAGAAAAAAGGAAGGAAGGAAAGAAGAAAAGAAAAAAGAAUGAGAGAGAGAGAACAAAAGCAUCACCAAUAAGUGACGCUAGGAGCUAGCCCAAUGCAGAAGAAUGAAAUUGGACCCUUUUCUUUCACCAUAUACAAAAACUCACUCAAGAUGGGUGAAAGACUUAAAUGUAAAACCUAAAACUGUAAAAACCCUAGGAAACCUACGAAAUGUCAUUCUGGAUAUAGACCCUGGCAAGGAUUUCAUGAUAAAGACUCCAAAAGCAAUUGCAACAGAAACAAAAAUUGACAAGUAGAAUAUAAUUAAAGAGCUUCUGCACAGCAAAAUAAACAAUCAAAA